This 1525-nucleotide long non-coding RNA is filed under the name Salmo salar (Atlantic salmon). RNAcentral's name for it is "lncRNA (ENSSSAG00000104595.1)". The record is from RNAcentral. Lineage: Eukaryota; Metazoa; Chordata; Actinopteri; Salmoniformes; Salmonidae.
CUCAGGUUUUGACCUGCCAUUUGAGUUCUGUUAUACUCACAGACACCAUUCAAACAGUUUUAGAAACCUUAGGGUGUUUUCUAUCCAUAUGUAAUAAGUAUAUGCAUAUUCUAGUUACUGGGUAGGAGUGGUAACCAGAUUAAAUCGGGUAUGUUUUUUAUCCAGCCGUGUCAAUACUGCCUUCUAGCCCUAACAGGUUAAGGACAACAAAGUCAAGGUGUCACAAAGCCCUGACCUCAAUCCCAUAGAAAAUUUGUGGGCAGAACUGAAAAAGCGUGUGCGAGCACGGAGGCCUACAAACCUGACUCAGUUACACCAGCUCUGUCAGGAGGAAUCGGCCAAAAUUCACCCAACUUAUUGUGGGAAGCUUGUGGAAGGCUACCCGAAACGUUUGACCCAAGUUAAACAAUUUUAAGACAGUGCUACCAAAUACUAAUAUAGUAUUCUUAUUUACAAUGACAGCCUACACCAGCCAAACCCGGACGACGCUGUGCCAAGUAUUUAUUAACUCUAUCUCUAACUUCUGAACAACUGGGAAUGUGAUGAAAGAAAUAAAAGCUGAAAUAAAUCAUUCUCUCUACUAUUAUUCUGACAUUUCACAUUCUUACAAUAAAGUGGUGAUCCUAACUGACCCAAGACAGGGAACUUUUACUAGGAAUAAAUGUCAGGUAUUGUGAAUAACUGAGUUUAAAUGUAUUUGGCUAAGGUGUAUGCAAACUUCCGACUUCAACUGUAUAUAUAUGUGUGUGUAUAUAUAUACAUGUAUAAAACUUUAGAGAGCUUAAGCAUCGAAUACAUUGCAAGUUGGGUGGAGUUUCACACCUAAAGUAGCCGGGCUAUUAAACCAAAUAGUUGGAUAUCACAGAUCGGCCCUCAGAACUCAUCAAUAUGCUUUAAAUGCCACAAUAUCACAAGUAAUUGAACACACACAACAUGAGCAGAUUAACUUGGUCAAAACAGUCAAAACAUUUAUUUAUUAAACACCUGCUGCGCUCUGCGCUUGAAACCAGCUCUCUGUUUCUCUCGUGUUCAUUACGGUGUGGUGUCCAGGAGUUCCCUUUUCCCGGUGCAGAAUACACAAGGUUUCUCCCUCCCCAGAUACAAUACAAUUCAAUCAUUAAAAAAAGACAAUACAAGUAAAAGUUCUGUCUUGUAAAAUUGUAAUGCCGGGUGCCAGGUCUCUCUCCAUUCAGAGACAUCAGUUUCAAGCCCGUCUGUCAAAAUAGGCAGAGUUGAAGCAGAGUUCCUCAGUGACACAUGGAAUGAAAAGGGUGUUGUUAUUACUGAACAUUUGUGCUGUACUGUUUAUUAAUAAUGACCUCAUUGUGGAUGUGUUGAGUUGAUGUGUUGAGUGCCAGAUCUCUGCAUAUCAUGCAUCGGUAAAAACAUAUACACAGACACUGUUCUACCAAUGGCAAUUAGGGAUAGGUGAUGUCUGACAGGUGAUAUAUACACUAUGUUGAAGUUUGAAUAAGUCCGACUAAACCUACCUAAUUCUGUUCCAUCGAUGACCAUUGGUGAGCAG